Molecule: long non-coding RNA, 117 nt
Filed under: Mustela putorius furo (domestic ferret)
Lineage: Eukaryota; Metazoa; Chordata; Mammalia; Carnivora; Mustelidae
Description: lncRNA (ENSMPUG00000029419.1)
Source: RNAcentral
AGGCAGGGAGAGGCCAUGUGAGCAGGAGCUCUGAGCCGGGCACCUCUCAGGACAAGGGGAGGUGACUCACCACGGAGCAGGUGGGAGUAGGAAAGUUGUCCGCGGCCGGGGGGUGGG